Molecule: small RNA, 491 nt
Filed under: uncultured Glomus
Lineage: Eukaryota; Fungi; Glomeromycota; Glomeromycetes; Glomerales; Glomeraceae
Description: SSU rRNA
Rfam family: Eukaryotic small subunit ribosomal RNA
Source: RNAcentral
AGCAGCCGCGGUAAUUCCAGCUCCAAUAGCGUAUAUUAAAGUUGUUGCAGUUAAAAAGCUCGUAGUUGAAUUUCGGGAUUAAUUUACUGGUCGUGCUAUUGUACGCACUGGUUUUAUUGAUUCCUCCCUUCUGACGAACUAUGAUGCCAUUAAUUUGGUGUCUUAGGGAAUCAGGACUGUUACUUUGAAAAAUUAGAGUGUUUAAAGCAGGCUCACGCUUGAAUACAUUAGCAUGGAAUAACGGAAUAGGACGUUUGAUUCUAUUUUGUUGGUUUCUAGGAUCGACGUAAUGAUUAAUAGGGAUAGUUGGGGGCAUUAGUAUUCAAUUGUCAGAGGUGAAAUUCUUGGAUUUAUUGAAGACUAACUACUGCGAAAGCAUUUGCCAAGGAUGUUUUCAUUAAUCAAGAACGAAAGUUAGGGGAUCGAAGACGAUCAGAUACCGUCGUAGUCUUAACCAUAAACUAUGCCGACUAGGGAUCGGAUGAUGUUAA